GGGUUAUCAUGAUCAGAGCCACAGAGGCCCGGGGAAAGGGGGGACAAAAGGGUGUCCAGGAGCUCACCAUAACAAGUCUCUUCUUCUCUGUGCUCCCCUCUGGCUCCAUUCCUACGCUGCCUCCAGAUCAUGAACAUGGCAGGGACAACCAAGCAAAAUACCAUGCAUGUGUGCCAUUGGAUCUUUCCCUCCAGUUCCCACAGAGGCCAUGCCAGAGACUCCUGUCUGGCUUCCAGGUCUGCAAUUUCCUUCUCCAAGUGCAGCUGGUGCUGCCAAAAGAUCACCUCCGGCUCCUUCAUCCUCUGGACAAUUUCUUUGUCAUCUUUGGGAGAAAUCCCAUUCUUUCCAGAGGGCUGAUUGAUGCUGACAACGGCCAUCAGCACCAGCUACCUAUGGAAGAUUCCUUCAGCCAUGGCUGAUCCUUCCCUGAAAGAGAAAGAAAGGAGGACAGAGCCAAGAUCCAGACUAUAUUGCCUCGGGAAGAGAAAGGAAAGAGUCUUGCCCCUGGCAGGAAGGCUCUGGCCAGCCCUGCAGAAAGGCUGGAGGCCAGAGGUGCUCCUCAGGGCACGCCUGCUGCUGCAAGUUCCAAGUCCAGCUGCCCAAAGAGGCUCCAUGAGCACAUUGAGAUAAAUGGGCAAGGAGGCCAGCUCCUUUUGGAUGCCUUUUAUAAAGUGAUCAGCUCUGGGUGGGGCCCCGAGGGGUCACGCACACUGCUGCUGCUCCCUUUGGCAACGCAGAGGAGGAGGUGAACAGUUUUGCUUCACAGCAGAACUGGGGCUUCUGUCCUCAUGGGCGUGCCUAGGACGACAUCUUUUGGCUCGUCGGCUGGGGUCCUCGCUCUGACUCAGUUCUACUUAGGUUACAGUGACAGUGAAAACCAUGUUGGUAGGGUAGAGGGACUUCUUGAUGGUAGGUCUAGUUGCUUAGUUGUGCAAAUUUUAGGUUGGCUCAUCAUUUCUAGGGUCUUUUGUGGGAUUUUCCUGUGCUUUUCUUGAUUUGCAUAUUUCCCGGGAAUGUUCCAGUCACCAUUUUGGGGAGCAGCAGAGGCAAUACCCGAUGGACGCAACAAGGGUUACAGCACCAGCAGAUUCCCACAGAGGAGAGGCUCUUCCACUGCCCAGACUGCGGGAAAGGAUUCAGGGACAACUCCACACUCGUCACCCACCGCCGCAUCCACAUGGGGGAGAGGACCUACGAGUAUCCCCAGUGUGGGAAGAGCUUCUCCAGGACCUCUCACUUGACCCAACACCAACGGAGGCACUGGGGUAAGAAAUGGAUUCCGGAGCUUUGUGAAACCAAGACCUGUCUCGUUUGUUCCUGGCACCGGCAGCUGCACGCUCCCCGGACACCGUGAACUCAACUUCUGGAGGAUUUGUGGGUUCUGUGGGGAUUUUGCGCAGUGUUCUCCAUCUCUUUGCACUACAAAAGCCAAGAGGGAUGGAUCUGUCACCACAAAACCACUCACAUCCCACUGAAAGUAACUGAAUUUUAACUUAUAAAGGCACAAUCUCACCUCAAUUUGCUUGUUCUGACCUCAAAAAACUCAAUCCCACACAAAGCUCACUGAAUUCCACAGCUGCACGGGGACCCCUGUGACUGGGAUCUGAUAAGUAUGGCCCCCUCCCUCCUGUUCUGAUGGGGUUGGCGGAGAGCCAGAAAGCCCUCUCUGUCCAGAGCCUAGAUAAGGCCAUGUCCCUUCCUGUUAUCUCUCUUUUCCCCUUCAUCUCAUGGAAUAAACAGCUGGACAACAA
Non-coding RNA from Taeniopygia guttata (zebra finch), 1751 nucleotides. The record is from RefSeq and is a predicted model, not a curated record. Lineage: Eukaryota; Metazoa; Chordata; Aves; Passeriformes; Estrildidae.